Molecule: ribosomal RNA, 497 nt
Filed under: uncultured bacterium
Lineage: Bacteria
Description: partial 16S ribosomal RNA
Rfam family: Bacterial small subunit ribosomal RNA
Source: RNAcentral
GAUGAACGCUGGCGGCGUGCCUAAUACAUGCAAGUCGAGCGAACGGACGAGAAGUUUGCUUUUCUGAUGUUAGCGGCGGACGGGUGAGUAACACGUGGAUAACCUACCUAUAAGACUGGGAUAACUUCGGGAAACCGGUGCUAAUACCGGAUAAUAUCUUGAACCGCAUGGUUCAAAAGUGAAAGACGGUCUUGCUGUCACUUAUAGAUGGAUCCGCGCUGCAUUAGCUAGUUGGUAGGGUAACGGCUUACCAAGGCAACGAUGGUAAGCCGACCUGAGAGGGGGAUCGGCAACACGGGAACGGGACAACGGUCAGAACUCCUACGGGAGGAGGAGGGGGGGAAUCUUGCGCAAUGGGCGAAGGCCUGACGAAGCAACGCGGCGGGAGUGAUGAGGGUCUUCGGAUCGUAAAACUCUGUUAUUAGGGAGGAACAUAUGUGUAAGUAACUGUGCACAGCUUGACGGUACCUAAUCAGAAAGCCACGGCUAACUACGUG